Molecule: ribosomal RNA, 253 nt
Filed under: uncultured bacterium
Lineage: Bacteria
Description: partial 16S ribosomal RNA
Rfam family: Bacterial small subunit ribosomal RNA
Source: RNAcentral
GACGAACCGUCCGAACGUUAUUCGGAAUCACUGGGCUUAAAGGGUGCGUAGGCGGCGCGGACGGUUGGGUGUGAAAUCCCUCGGCUCAACCGAGGAGCUGCGCCCAAAACUACCGUGCUCGAGGGAGAUAGAGGUGAGCGGAACUUAGGGUGGAGCGGUGAAAUGCGUUGAUAUCCUAAGGAACACCGGUGGCGAAAGCGGCUCACUGGAUCUCUUCUGACGCUGAGGCACGAAAGCUAGGGUAGCGAACGGG